CUCAAAAGGAAGAUAAUAUAGCUACAUGUAGACAAGACUGCGUGCAAUCCUCUAUAAAAGCAUCCAGUUGACCCCACAUUUCUGAUUGGUCAAAGUAAUGUUUUAUUUAUUCUCUUCUCUUAUUGGGCUUCAGCAGUGGAGGCCACAGCUCUACCGCAGCUGAAGCAUCUGGCCCUUCAG
This 180-nucleotide long non-coding RNA is filed under the name Anas platyrhynchos platyrhynchos (common mallard). Its description in RNAcentral is "lncRNA (ENSAPLG00000028959.1)". Lineage: Eukaryota; Metazoa; Chordata; Aves; Anseriformes; Anatidae. The record is from RNAcentral.